RNAcentral lists this long non-coding RNA (2613 nucleotides) under Homo sapiens (human). RNAcentral's name for it is "HSALNT0068874". The record is from RNAcentral. Lineage: Eukaryota; Metazoa; Chordata; Mammalia; Primates; Hominidae.
CGGAAUCAUGUACUUUCGCUGACCUGUGAGGCUGGCCCCAAAUCCAGUGUCUCAGGUGCACCUGGGUGGGCUGCAAACUUGAAGUCUCUGAGUGCUUCAGGAAAAUCCCACGAGAAAGCCUUUAAAAACAUAAAAGCCUUUUUUAGAUCACCUGUUAUACAAAAGCAGACCAGAUUCAGCCCGGGGGCUGUUGUUUCCCAACCCCCGAUCUAGACAAAGAGCAUCUGGGGCCAAGAACACCAAGGAAAAGGAGUUCCCAUACCUGCCUUCCUGACCAGAAAUCCCAAACUCACAGUCCAGACCCCAGACCUAGGGGGAUCCCCCCUCCCCUGCUGGAGACGCUGCUGGCCAGGCAUUUAGUCUGCAAAUACCCUGACAAGACAGGUCAUCAAUGUGAAAUUAUCACCAUCAGCAGGGCCAGGCGGCCUGGCCUCCCAUUAUGACCAAAUGAAUAACUCCGUUUAGAGAAGUCGUUUAGGGCGCUGCCCCAGACAAUGACUCCUGUCAAAAGAUUUACCGAAGCUCAGGGGCAAUGUGGCGGGGAGGCCCCGUGGGCCUGGCCUCACAGUUUAUCAGCUCAUGCAGAAAACAAAGAUUGCAGCGUGGACCAUUUCGCCGCUGAAAUUCAUGCCUUUUGACCCCAAAUGAAGAGAUAAUCCCGGGGCUUGUUUCCACUUGAGCUUGGAGAUAUUGUAAACAGCUGGCUCUGAAGCAGAACCUCACAUUGGCCUUGGGUGGAAAACAAGUCAUCAACCACACUGCUGGGGAAAGCGGUUCUUUACUUCAUUUUACUACACUCCCUUGGAAGCACCCCCCAGGAGAAUUCUAUUUUUAAAUUGAGUGCUUGGUAGAACUCUCGCUAAAGGAACAUGCUGGAGGAUGUGCUUCCUCCAAUCCCCUACUGAAGACUGUAAGCUUAAUCAUGAUGUAUUUUCUCCUUGGCUACCAGGAAGCUCAAAAGCCAAGAAAAGCUUAAGUCCGUCAGCAAGGCUGGUCCUUUAUAUUAUAACAUGUGCAUUAUCCUUUACUUUCCUGUUGUGGAUUCUAUUUAGGUUUAAUGAUGUUUGUUUAAGUGCUUCAUCGUGUAAACAGCUUCAUAUCCUUUGUUGAAAGAGGGAGGGCUGUGGGUAAAUGAUGGCGGGCUUCCAGGCAGGCAGAGUGGACAGCCAGAGGCAAUAACAGGAUUCGCCAAGGGACACCAGGUGGGAAGACCCAUGCAAAGGCAGCUUGGGAUGAUCCACUUGCCCAGCAUGAGAGGGGCACCUGGUUCUGCCCAGAAGCUCAGGAAAUACCACGUGAAUGCAUGAAUGUUGAAUGGAUAACUGAGCACUAAGCAAGUGGCCAGCAGACCCUGGACGCAGGCACCGUGCUCGGCCUCUGCUGCUUGGGGGUCCUCUCCUGACUUGUGAGGCCAGUCACCACCUCUCUCACAGUGAGAUGGGGAGAUGAAACCACAGCGGCGACCUGGCGUGUGCCCGGUGCAUGGCGCAGCCUAUGAGAGCUCCUCCACCUUCUCCUCCUUUCAGGGUGAGGUCAUGUUUGACCAGCUUAAGUCAGGUGACAGAUGCCAAGAAAGUGUGCAUGCUGCAAUUAGAAGCUGGAAUGUUACAAAGGAUGAUAACAGCAGCUCCAGAGCAUUUGCUGAACCCCAAGCGCUGUCCUAUGCAACCCGUGUGGACUAACCCCUGUGAUGCCCACACCCUCACAAGGUAGGAAUUCUCAUUGUCAUUUUACAGAUGACAAAAUGGAGGUGUGGCAACUUUAAAACCUGUCUACAAAUUCUUGGACCUUCUGGCAUCGAGAGGCAGGUCACAGACCACACACACACACACACACACACACACACACACACGCACACGUAUGCAUACGUUGAAGCUGGCUGGCUGCGAUUGUGACUCUUUUGUAGCCAAUAUCAUGGCAGUGAGGUUAGUUGAGAAAAUGUGGUGGUGCCAACAGUUCCGGUUUUUGUAGCCCAGGCACCAACCAUGUGAGCAAUGAGAUAAUCCCAGCCCCCAGGCAUUAAGUCCCCCAGAGCCCCCAGUCUUCCAAGCAGGGGUCCCCCAGACUGUGUGGAGCAGACAAGUCAUCCCCACUGGCUCCUUCCACAAAGAGGUUGUGGCUUUAUUUCUAAGUUUGAGGUGGCUUUACAUUGACAGGACAGAGAUUUGGUGUCUGGGCAAAUCCCAAGCAUUAACUCUGGUCCUGGGCAGUGGAUAGAAGCUAAAGGGGCCUUGAGAAGACUGCCAGUGAGGGCUUGAGGAAGACCAAGAAGAACGUCAUUGGAAACCAGAGAAAAAGGGAGGUCAGUAACCCAAAGGAGGCCAAUACUGCCAUAAGCUACAACGUGGAAAGCAGGAAAAGGGUACCUAAUUAACCCAGUGAUGUAGCAAGCUUCUUCUGUAAAGGGCCAAAUGGUAAAUAUUUUAGAUAUUGUGGAGAAGAUGGUCUCUGCUGAAACUCCUCAAGUCUAUAGUUGUAGCUCAAAAGCAGCCAUCAACAAUACACCAAUAAAUGGGCAUGGCUGCACUCCAAUAACCCUGUUUACAAAAACAGGCAGUAGGCUGGAUUGCUCACCCCUGAUCUAGCUAAGAUGUCCAGGAAAAUAUAUUGAAA